UUUUGCUUCAUGUUGCAAGGUGUCCCCGCGGGAAGGUCGUUCCCCGGGGAUGAAACGGGAAACAGGUGCGCGCUCCCGAGCACGCUCGGGAAGCGGCAAUGCCUGUACUGCCCCCGCAACGGUAGGCGAGAGGGUGCACUACCCGGCCACUGCGAUGCCCAGUGCUCGCGGGAAGGCCGUGCACCCGGCGGACCCCUUCCGCCCGCUCGCGAGUCCGGAGACCGGCCUUGCAGCCCAGGUUCGG
Molecule: non-coding RNA, 244 nt
Filed under: Acidobacteriota bacterium
Lineage: Bacteria; Pseudomonadati; Acidobacteriota
Source: RNAcentral